AAGUCGUAACAAGGUAUCCGUAGGUGAACCUGCGGAUGGAUCAUUAUCACGUUAUCCACGUAUCAACCAUUGUGAACUGUUGUGUAUAUAUAUAUAUUGUUUGUUUGUUUGGGGGGAAAUUUUUGUUUGAUUACAAAAAUUUCUCUUUAACUUAUUAAUAAUAUAUGUAUAUAUAUAUUUUAUUAUUAACUAUUUAAACAAUUUUUAAAUAAUUAAUUCUUUGAACUGAAACAUUUCUUACUCUUCGGAGAAGAAAUAAAAAAUUACGAAACAUAAGAACAACUCUUAGCAACGGAUAUCUUGGUUCUC
This 309-nucleotide unclassified non-coding RNA is filed under the name fungal sp. RNAcentral's name for it is "partial internal transcribed spacer region". The stretch from base 1 to 46 matches the Rfam family "Eukaryotic small subunit ribosomal RNA", at positions 1786 to 1831 of the family's 1831-position model. Lineage: Eukaryota; Fungi. The record is from RNAcentral.